This 584-nucleotide ribosomal RNA is filed under the name uncultured bacterium. Its description in RNAcentral is "bacterial SSU rRNA". It matches the Rfam family "Bacterial small subunit ribosomal RNA", at positions 276 to 861 of the family's 1533-position model. The record is from RNAcentral.
ACGAUGGGUAGGGGUUCUGAGAGGAAGGUCCCCCACAUUGGAACUGAGACACGGUCCAAACUCCUACGGGAGGCAGCAGUGAGGAAUAUUGGUCAAUGGGCGUAAGCCUGAACCAGCCAAGUAGCGUGAAGGACGACGGCCCUACGGGUUGUAAACUUCUUUUAUAAGGGAAUAAAGUUCGCCACGUGUGGUGUUUUGUAUGUACCUUAUGAAUAAGCAUCGGCUAAUUCCGUGCCAGCAGCCGCGGUAAUACGGAAGAUGCGAGCGUUAUCCGGAUUUAUUGGGUUUAAAGGGAGCGUAGGCGGGCUUUUAAGUCAGCGGUCAAAUGUCACGGCUCAACCGUGGCCAGCCGUUGAAACUGUAAGCCUUGAGUCUGCACAGGGCACAUGGAAUUCGUGGUGUAGCGGUGAAAUGCUUAGAUAUCACGAAGAACUCCGAUCGCGAAGGCAUUGUGCCGGGGCAGCACUGACGCUGAGGCUCGAAAGUGCGGGUAUCAAACAGGAUUAGAUACCCUGGUAGUCCGCACGGUAAACGAUGAAUGCUCGCUAUGGGCGAUAUAUUGUCCGUGGCCAAGCGAAAGCGUU